Molecule: ribosomal RNA, 466 nt
Filed under: uncultured bacterium
Lineage: Bacteria
Description: partial 16S ribosomal RNA
Rfam family: Bacterial small subunit ribosomal RNA
Source: RNAcentral
GACGAACGCUGGCGGCGUGCUUAACACAUGCAAGUCGAACGGAAAGGCCCUGCUUUUGUGGGGUGCUCGAGUGGCGAACGGGUGAGUAACACGUGAGUAACCUGCCCUUGACUUUGGGAUAACUUCAGGAAACUGGGGCUAAUACCGGAUAGGAGCUCCUGCUGCAUGGUGGGGGUUGGAAAGUUUCGGCGGUUGGGGAUGGACUCGCGGCUUAUCAGCUUGUUGGCGGGGUAGUGGCUUACCAAGGCUUUGACGGGUAGCCGGCCUGAGAGGGUGACCGGCCACAUUGGGACUGAGAUACGGCCCAGACUCCUACGGGAGGCAGCAGUGGGGAAUAUUGCACAAUGGGCGGAAGACUGAUGCAGCAACGCCGCGUGCGGGAUGACGGCCUUCGGGUUGUAAACCGCUUUCGCCUGUGACGAAGCGUGAGUGACGGUAAUGGGUAAAGAAGCACCGGCUAACUACG